Molecule: small nucleolar RNA, 70 nt
Organism: Phascolarctos cinereus (koala)
Lineage: Eukaryota; Metazoa; Chordata; Mammalia; Diprotodontia; Phascolarctidae
Source: Ensembl
GUGCAGUGAUGAAAACACCUUUUUUGCUGACCUUUUAAUCGUGAAGGUUUCUACACUUGAACUGAGCUCA